CCUCCCCCGGCGGGUGAGGGACCGCGGACAAACUCCCGCCCGGGCAGCCUGUCCGCGGCGGGGAGCGCCCCAGCCCCCAGGAGCUCCUCGCGGGGCUGCAGCGGGCUCCUCACCUGGCGGGAGGGCGGCCUCAGACGCCGGCGGGACAAGUAGAGCCGCCCGCGGCCCGAGGAAGCCUCCGCGCCACCGGGGAGAGCAGGCCGUUAAAAACAAUUAAGGCGGCCGGUAUCGCCAAGGUAGCCGGGAAUAAGGUGGCCUUCCGGGCACGCAGCAGUGUGGAAGUUUCCUCGCUAAGGAAGAGAUGAGGCCCUGCCAGGGUCCCGCGUGGGAAGCCGCGCCGUGCCCAUUCGGUGCCCGUGCCGUGAGGGCGCUCCUCGCGGUCUCCCUUUCGCCCGCAGGCAACGGUCGGAAAAUAACGCCCUUCCCCGACGCACCAAUCUGGAAGGUCUACGGUAAUGCAAGUGACACAGACGGAAAGGCAAGGUAAUGAGAUAAUUCACAACGACAUCCUCAGAAAAUUCAUCUGAUACUGGGACUGGCCAGGAUUUCACCAGUGGUGACUGAAUGUAACAAUGUAUUUCUAAACAAUGCAAAGAUUUGGGAGCUCAUGAAAUUAAAACAGAAACAGUACCAACAUUACCAGUUUAAGUGGUUAGAAAGUAACUACAUUUUCUGUUGAAGUGCCUCAAAACUUCCAGGCUUGGGGAAAAAAGAAAAAAGAAAAACCCCAACAUGUCAAGCAUGAUAAAGUAACACCAGAUCUGCAAAACAGUGUUAGAAAGAAUCCUGAAGUCACCACUUUUCCACUGUCAAAUAUAAGCCUGUCUUGCAAGUACUGUACUAUAAUAAGCGUAUCCAACAAAAACAGAACUGAGUAAGAAGUUUGUUUCUUACAAACAAGAAAUGCGCCAGCACAACAGUUGCCAAUCUCUGUUAAGAGAAGCUCCAAGUUCUAUUACAUGCUGUGUAUGAUUCUGGUUCAUUUGGAGUGAAAGGUCCCUUCAUGCCCAACUGCUCAUGUUCAUGUGCUGUGCACCCUUGAAACAGAUAAUGUACAUCAACUUGCAGAAACCAGUAGGAACUAGAAAGCAGGAGAGGAAAAAAAUAAUGAUACACUGGUAGCUGAGAAGAAUGCUUCAGGUUAACUCUUUCCUGUAGAUUUAAGAAUUUUGUGAAUGGAAUAUUUUUAUCCUAUUUUAACAAUUGUAUCACAGUCUAAAUGUUGGGUAAUAGAACACCGAACAAGAAAAACAGGAUUCAUUGGUACUGGUGUUGUGCAUAAUUUCAGACAACUGGUUGAAGCAAAGUAUGUCACAAGUUGCUUCUGAUUUUGUUAUAACUUAUCCCAAGUUAGGAGCUCAGCCCGAUCUUCCCAAUAAAUGCAUAUACAUCCA
This is a long non-coding RNA of Grus americana (Whooping crane), 1394 nucleotides long. RefSeq lists it as uncharacterized. Lineage: Eukaryota; Metazoa; Chordata; Aves; Gruiformes; Gruidae. The record is from RefSeq and is a predicted model, not a curated record. The transcript is spliced from 2 exons.